This 303-nucleotide ribosomal RNA is filed under the name uncultured bacterium. Its description in RNAcentral is "partial 16S ribosomal RNA". It matches the Rfam family "Bacterial small subunit ribosomal RNA", at positions 507 to 807 of the family's 1533-position model. The record is from RNAcentral.
AGCAGUAGCCGCGGUAAGACAGAGGAUGCAAGCGUUAUCCGGAAUGAUUGGGCGUAAAGCGUCUGUAGGUGGCUUUUCAAGUCCGCCGUCAAAUCCCAGGGCUCAACCCUGGACAGGCGGUGGAAACUACCAAGCUGGAGUACGGUAGGGGCAGAGGGAAUUUCCAGUGGAGCGGUGAAAUGCGUUGAGAUCGAAAAGAACACCAACAGCGAAAGCACUCUGCUGGGACGACACUGACACUAAGAGACGAAAGCUAGGGGAGCAAAUGGGAUUAGAUACCCGCGUAGUCCCUGUCUCUUAUAC